This 446-nucleotide ribosomal RNA is filed under the name uncultured bacterium. RNAcentral describes it as "bacterial SSU rRNA". It matches the Rfam family "Bacterial small subunit ribosomal RNA", at positions 329 to 792 of the family's 1533-position model. The record is from RNAcentral.
UGCCAGACUCCUACGGGAGGCAGCAGUGGGGGAUAUUGCACAAUGGGGGAAACCCUGAUGCAGCGACGCCGCGUGGGUGAAGAAGCGCCUCGGCGCGUAAAGCCCUGUCAGCAGGGAAGAAAAUGACGGUACCUGAAGAAGAAGCCCCGGCUAACUACGUGCCAGCAGCCGCGGUAAUACGUAGGGGGCAAGCGUUAUCCGGAUUUACUGGGUGUAAAGGGGGCGCAGACGGUGAUGCAAGCCAGGAGUGAAAGCCCGGGGCCCAACCCCGGGACUGCUCUUGGAACUGUAAGGCUAGAGUGUCGGAGAGGCAGGCGGAAUUCCUAGUGUAGCGGUGAAAUGCGUAGAUAUUAGGAGGAACACCAGUGGCGAAGGCGGCCUGCUGGACGAUGACUGACGUUGAGGCUCGAAAGCGUGGGGAGCAAACAGGAUUAGAUACCCUAGUA